CGUACACUCCUACGGGAGGCAGCAGUGGGGAAUUUUGGACAAUGGGCGAAAGCCUGAUCCAGCAAUGCCGCGUGCAGGAUGAAGGCCUUCGGGUUGUAAACUGCUUUUGUACGGAACGAAAAAGCUCCUUCUAAUACAGGGGGCCCAUGACGGUACCGUAAGAAUAAGCACCGGCUUACUACGUGCCAGCAGCCGCGGUAAUACGUAGGGUGCGAGCGUUAAUCGGAAUUACUGGGCGUAAAGCGUGCGCAGGCGGUUAUGUAAGACAGAUGUGAAAUCCCCGGGCUCAACCUGGGAACUGCAUUUGUGACUGCAUGGCUAGAGUACGGUAGAGGGGGAUGGAAUUCCGCGUGUAGCAGUGAAAUGCGUAGAUAUGCGGAGGAACACCGAUGGCGAAGGCAAUCCCCUGGACCUGUACUGACGCUCAUGCACGAAAGCGUGGGGAGCAAACAGGAUUAGAAACCUAGUAGUCCC
This 474-nucleotide ribosomal RNA is filed under the name uncultured organism. RNAcentral's name for it is "partial 16S ribosomal RNA". It matches the Rfam family "Bacterial small subunit ribosomal RNA", at positions 330 to 797 of the family's 1533-position model. The record is from RNAcentral.